UACGGAGGGUGCGAGCGUUGUCCGGAAUCAUUGGGCGUAAAGGGCGCGUAGGUGGCCCGGUCAGUCGAUGGUGAAAGCGCGGGGCUCAACUCCGCGUCGGCCGUCGAUACUGCGGGGCUGGAGCACUGUAGAGGCAGGCGGAAUUCCGGGUGUAGCGGUGGAAUGCGUAGAGAUCCGGAAGAACACCGGUGGCGAAGGCGGCCUGCUGGGCAGUAGCUGACACUGAGGCGCGACAGCGUGGGGAGCAAACGGG
This 253-nucleotide ribosomal RNA is filed under the name uncultured bacterium. RNAcentral's name for it is "partial 16S ribosomal RNA". It matches the Rfam family "Bacterial small subunit ribosomal RNA", at positions 524 to 776 of the family's 1533-position model. The record is from RNAcentral.